This 274-nucleotide long non-coding RNA is filed under the name Olea europaea (common olive). Its description in RNAcentral is "long non-coding RNA (OEUR_LNC010269)". Lineage: Eukaryota; Viridiplantae; Streptophyta; Magnoliopsida; Lamiales; Oleaceae. The record is from RNAcentral.
CCCCCCAGGGCACAUUCAAGUUGGCAGAACAAUCACAUUGGGGGGCUCUGGAACCAAGUGUGGGGAGUUCGAUUCCUGGUUGGAGCAGCCAAGUGAUGUAAUAACCAGAGGAAGGAUUGGAGCAGUUUGGUGAUGUAAUAACCAUGGAGGAGGGUCCCUUUGGGGAAGGAGUAAAAGCCAUGUGGGAACCUGGGAACCAACAAGGGCACAACCUGCGAUUUACCUCCACUAGUCACUGAGGGGCCGGGGGCUAGAGGUCCAGGAUUUAGUCCGG